UGCGGGGACAGCAAGGGUCCAUCUCCAGGGAUUGAUGUGAAGUCCUGGCUGCUCAGUAAAAAGACUCAGCCAUGCUGAUUCUGAGGAUUGUGCCCUUUGCUCUGUUCUACCCUGCAGAGCACAAAUGUUUGUCUCUUUUGCACUGAGUAGUGCUGAGCUGUGAAAGGAGCUUUUGGAAAUGACAAUGUGGAAAAUAUGUUACCUUCGUGGGCUUGGAUUUGUGUAACCAGCAGUGGUGGGAGAGCAGCUCCAUCCCAGAGCCCUGGAAGCUGGAGGAGGGAGCACUGCUGUCCUGGGUUAAGAUCCAAGCAGGCACACAGCAGUGGAUCAACACAGGCCAAGUUCCCUCAGGACUGCACCCUCAUGUAGUAAUUAAAAAGCAAUCAGUGGAAGAGAAUGUUUGAGUUCCAUUGGGCACAAACCCUUUUUAGCCAUGG
Long non-coding RNA from Motacilla alba alba, 437 nucleotides. RefSeq lists it as uncharacterized. Lineage: Eukaryota; Metazoa; Chordata; Aves; Passeriformes; Motacillidae. The transcript is spliced from 3 exons. The record is from RefSeq and is a predicted model, not a curated record.